CCGACGAUAGCUCAGUUGGUAGAGCGGAGGACUGUAGAUGUGGCAGUGAUCCUUAGGUCGGUGGUUCGAAUCCGCCUCGUCGGA
Transfer RNA from Clonorchis sinensis, 84 nucleotides. It matches the Rfam family "tRNA". Rfam says of the family: Transfer RNA (tRNA) molecules are approximately 80 nucleotides in length. The record is from Rfam. Lineage: Eukaryota; Metazoa; Platyhelminthes; Trematoda; Opisthorchiida; Opisthorchiidae.